UAGAAUCAGCUUCUGUUGAUGAGUGAGUCUGAUCAUCAUCAAAAGUUAUUGAAGGUCCUUCUGAGAUGUCAUCUUCCUCUAAUGGUGGAGGAUCAGUAUACAAAUAUUCUUUGGUUGAUGAAGGAGCCUGAUCAUCAUCACAAGUCAUUGCAGGUUCUUCUGGGAUGUGAACUUGCUCUAAUGGUAAUGGUGGAGGGUCAGUAUACAAAUCUUCUUUGGUUGAUGAGGGAGCCUGAUCAUCAUCACAAGUCAUUGAAGGUUCUUCUGGGAUGUCAGCUUGCUCUAAUGGUGGAGGGUCAGUAUACAAAACUUCUUUGGUUGAUGAGGGAGCC
Molecule: long non-coding RNA, 332 nt
Filed under: Brachypodium distachyon (stiff brome)
Lineage: Eukaryota; Viridiplantae; Streptophyta; Magnoliopsida; Poales; Poaceae
Description: long non-coding RNA (BDIS_LNC001583)
Source: RNAcentral